RNAcentral lists this ribosomal RNA (1690 nucleotides) under Campylobacter coli. Its description in RNAcentral is "partial 23S ribosomal RNA". It matches the Rfam family "Bacterial large subunit ribosomal RNA", at positions 1244 to 2925 of the family's 2925-position model. Lineage: Bacteria; Pseudomonadati; Campylobacterota; Epsilonproteobacteria; Campylobacterales; Campylobacteraceae. The record is from RNAcentral.
UUUGCGUCGAAGGUAUACCGGUAAGGAGUGCUGGAGCGAAUAGAAGUGAGCAUGCAGGCAUGAGUAGCGAUAAUUAAUGUGAGAAUCAUUAACGCCGUAAACCCAAGGUUUCCUACGCGAUGCUCGUCAUCGUAGGGUUAGUCGGGUCCUAAGUCGAGUCCGAAAGGGGUAGACGAUGGCAAAUUGGUUAAUAUUCCAAUACCAACAUUAGUGUGCGAUGGAAGGACGCUUAGGGCUAAGGGGGCUAGCGGAUGGAAGUGCUAGUCUAAGGUCGUAGGAGGUUAUACAGGCAAAUCCGUAUAACAAUACUCCGAGAACUGAAAGGCUUUUUGAAGUCUUCGGAUGGAUAGAAGAACCCCUGAUGCCGUCGAGCCAAGAAAAGUUUCUAAGUUUAGUUAAUGUUGCCCGUACCGUAAACCGACACAGGUGGGUGGGAUGAGUAUUCUAAGGCGCGUGGAAGAACUCUCUUUAAGGAACUCUGCAAAAUAGCACCGUAUCUUCGGUAUAAGGUGUGGUUAGCUUUGUAUUAGGAUUUACUCCGAAAGCAAGGAAACUUACAACAAAGAGUCCCUCCCGACUGUUUACCAAAAACACAGCACUCUGCUAACUCGUAAGAGGAUGUAUAGGGUGUGACGCCUGCCCGGUGCUCGAAGGUUAAUUGAUGGGGUUAGCAUUAGCGAAGCUCUUGAUCGAAGCCCGAGUAAACGGCGGCCGUAACUAUAACGGUCCUAAGGUAGCGAAAUUCCUUGUCGGUUAAAUACCGACCUGCAUGAAUGGCGUAACGAGAUGGGAGCUGUCUCAAAGAGGGAUCCAGUGAAAUUGUAGUGGAGGUGAAAAUUCCUCCUACCCGCGGCAAGACGGAAAGACCCCGUGGACCUUUACUACAGCUUGACACUGCUACUUGGAUAAGAAUGUGCAGGAUAGGUGGGAGGCUUUGAGUAUAUGACGCCAGUUGUAUAUGAGCCAUUGUUGAGAUACCACUCUUUCUUAUUUGGGUAGCUAACCAGCUUGAGUUAUCCUCAAGUGGGACAAUGUCUGGUGGGUAGUUUGACUGGGGCGGUCGCCUCCCAAAUAAUAACGGAGGCUUACAAAGGUUGGCUCAGAACGGUUGGAAAUCGUUCGUAGAGUAUAAAGGUAUAAGCCAGCUUAACUGCAAGACAUACAAGUCAAGCAGAGACGAAAGUCGGUCUUAGUGAUCCGGUGGUUCUGUGUGGAAGGGCCAUCGCUCAAAGGAUAAAAGGUACCCCGGGGAUAACAGGCUGAUCUCCCCCAAGAGCUCACAUCGACGGGGAGGUUUGGCACCUCGAUGUCGGCUCAUCGCAUCCUGGGGCUGGAGCAGGUCCCAAGGGUAUGGCUGUUCGCCAUUUAAAGCGGUACGCGAGCUGGGUUCAGAACGUCGUGAGACAGUUCGGUCCCUAUCUGCCGUGGGCGUAAGAAGAUUGAAGAGAUUUGACCCUAGUACGAGAGGACCGGGUUGAACAAACCACUGGUGUAGCUGUUGUUCUGCCAAGAGCAUCGCAGCGUAGCUAAGUUUGGAAAGGAUAAACGCUGAAAGCAUCUAAGCGUGAAGCCAACUCUAAGAUGAAUCUUCUCUAAGCUCUCUAGAAGACUACUAGUUUGAUAGGCUGGGUGUGUAAUGGAUGAAAGUCCUUUAGCUGACCAGUACUAAUAGAGCGUUUGGCUUAUCUUU